GCGUAUAUUAAAGUUGUUGCAGUUAAAAGCUCGUAGUUGAACCUUGGGCCUGGCUGGCCGGUCCGCCUCACCGCGUGCACUGGUCCGGCCGGGCCUUUCCUCCUGGGGAGCCGCAUGCCCUUCACUGGGUGUGUCGGGGAACCAGGACUUUUACUUUGAAAAAAUUAGAGUGUUCAAAGCAGGCCUAUGCUCGAAUACAUUAGCAUGGAAUAAUAGAAUAGGACGUGUGGUUCUAUUUUGUUGGUUUCUAGGACCGCCGUAAUGAUUAAUAGGGAUAGUCGGGGGCAUCAGUAUUCAAUUGUCAGAGGUGAAAUUCUUGGAUUUAUUGAAGACUAACUACUGCGAAAGCAUUUGCCAAGGAUGUUUUCAUUAAUCAGUGAACGAAAGUUAGGGGAUCGAAGACGAUCAGAUACCGUCGUAGUCUUAACCAUAAACUAUGCCGACUAGGGAUCGGGCGAUGUUAUCUUUUUGACUCGCUCGGCACCUUACGAGAAAUCAAAGUUUUUGGGUUCUGGGGGGAGUAUGGUCGCAAGGCUGAAACUUAAAGAAAUUGACGGAAGGGCACCACCAGGAGUGGAGCCUGCGGCUUAAUUUGACUCAACACGGGGAAACUCACCAGGUCCAGACACAAUAAGGAUUGACAGAUUGAGAGCUCUUUCUUGAUUUUGUGGGUGGUGGUGCAUGGCCGUUCUUAGUUGGUGGAGUGAUUUGUCUGCUUAAUUGCGAUAACGAACGAGACCUUAACCUGCUAAAUAGCCCGGCUAGCUUUGGCUGGUCGCUGGCUUCUUAGAGGGACUAUCGGCUCAAGCCGAUGGAAGUUUGAGGCAAUAACAGGUCUGUGAUGCCCUUAGAUGUUCUGGGCCGCACGCGCGCUACACUGACAGAGCCAACGAGUUCAUCACCUUGGCCGAAAGGCCUGGGUAUCUUGUUAAACUCUGUCGUGCUGGG
Molecule: ribosomal RNA, 948 nt
Filed under: Pseudogymnoascus pannorum
Lineage: Eukaryota; Fungi; Ascomycota; Leotiomycetes; Thelebolales; Thelebolaceae
Description: SSU rRNA
Rfam family: Eukaryotic small subunit ribosomal RNA
Source: RNAcentral